RNAcentral lists this ribosomal RNA (531 nucleotides) under uncultured bacterium. RNAcentral describes it as "partial 16S ribosomal RNA". It matches the Rfam family "Bacterial small subunit ribosomal RNA", at positions 33 to 541 of the family's 1533-position model. The record is from RNAcentral.
UUCCUNAGACGCUGGCGGCGUNCCUAACACAUGCANGUCGAACGAGAAAGUUCCUUCGGGGACAAGUAAAGUGGCGCAAGGGUGAGUAACACGUGAAUAAUCCGCCUUCGAGACUGGGAUAACUUGGCGAAAGUUAAGCUAAUACCGGAUAAGACCACGCUUCAUAAGGAGUGCGGCAAAAAGGGUCUCAAACCCUGCUUGAAGAUGAGUUCGCGUACCAUUAGCUUGUUGGUGAGAUAACAGCUCACCAAGGCGACGAUGGUUAGCCGGCCUGAGAGGGUGAUCGGCCACACUGGAACUGAGACACGGUCCAGACUCCUACGGGAGGCAGCAGUGGGGAAUAUUGCGCAAUGGGCGAAAGCCUGACGCAGCAACGCCGCGUGAGCGAUGAAGGCCUUCGGGUCGUAAAGCUCUGUCAAGUGGGAAAACCAAUGACNGUCCCUANAGGAANCCCCGCUACUUCNUGCCANCACCCGGUAUACCAAGGGGCANCGUUNUCGAAUUUUGGCUUAACCUNUUNNGUGUUUUUAA